GGGUAGCAUCAAGAGCUAUGAAUGUUUCCUGAUUCAAACUUCCAACAAAAAAAGCUGCUGGAAUUCCUGCAUGUAGCUCUUGAGCACAAUCUACAUGUCUCAAGUUGCCAGACACACGA
Salvia miltiorrhiza (redroot sage) is the source of this 119-nucleotide small nucleolar RNA. RefSeq annotates it as small nucleolar RNA snoR104. Lineage: Eukaryota; Viridiplantae; Streptophyta; Magnoliopsida; Lamiales; Lamiaceae. The record is from RefSeq and is a predicted model, not a curated record. The transcript has a single exon.